RNAcentral lists this transfer RNA (67 nucleotides) under Menathais tuberosa. RNAcentral describes it as "tRNA-Ile". The record is from RNAcentral. Lineage: Eukaryota; Metazoa; Mollusca; Gastropoda; Neogastropoda; Muricidae.
AGUACUACGCCGGAUGAACGGAAAUCAUUGAUGUUGAUUAAUAUGUAGCAAAAAGCUUCUGGUGCUA